GAUGAACGCUGGCGGCGUGCCUAAUACAUGCAAGUCGAGCGAACAGACGAGGAGCUUGCUCCUCUGACGUUAGCGGCGGACGGGUGAGUAACACGUGGAUAACCUACCUAUAAGACUGGGAUAACUUCGGGAAACCGGAGCUAAUACCGGAUAAUAUAUUGAACCGCAUGGUUCAAUAGUGAAAGACGGUUUUGCUGUCACUUAUAGAUGGAUCCGCGCCGCAUUAGCUAGUUGGUAAGGUAACGGCUUACCAAGGCAACGAUGCGUAGCCGACCUGAGAGGGUGAUCGGCCACACUGGAACUGAGACACGGUCCAGACUCCUACGGGAGGCAGCAGUAGGGAAUCUUCCGCAAAGGGCGAAAGCCUGACGGAGCAACGCCGCGUGAUUGAUGAAGGUCUUCGGAUCGUAAAACUCUGUUAUUAGGGAAGAACAAAUGUGUAAGUAACUAUGCACGUCUUGACGGUACCUAAUCAGAAAGCCACGGCUAACUACGUG
This 497-nucleotide ribosomal RNA is filed under the name uncultured bacterium. RNAcentral's name for it is "partial 16S ribosomal RNA". It matches the Rfam family "Bacterial small subunit ribosomal RNA", at positions 28 to 507 of the family's 1533-position model. The record is from RNAcentral.